UACGGAGGGUGCAAGCGUUAUCCGGAUUCACUGGGUUUAAAGGGUGCGUAGGCGGGUUGGUAAGUCCGUGGUGAAAUCUCCAAGCUUAACUUGGGAACUGCCGUGGAUACUAUCAAUCUUGAAUAUCGUGGAGGUAAGCGGAAUAUGUCAUGUAGCGGUGAAAUGCUUAGAUAUGACAUAGAACACCAAUUGCGUAGGCAGCUUACUACACGAUCAUUGACGCUGAGGCACGAAAGCGUGGGGAGCAAACAGG
RNAcentral lists this ribosomal RNA (253 nucleotides) under uncultured bacterium. Its description in RNAcentral is "partial 16S ribosomal RNA". It matches the Rfam family "Bacterial small subunit ribosomal RNA", at positions 524 to 776 of the family's 1533-position model. The record is from RNAcentral.